CGCAACCCUUGUCCUUAGUUACCAGCACGUUAUGGUGGGCACUCUAAGGAGACUGCCGGUGACAAACCGGAGGAAGGUGGGGAUGACGUCAAGUCAUCAUGGCCCUUACGGCCUGGGCUACACACGUGCUACAAUGGCGGUACAAAGGGUUGCCAAGCCGCGAGGUGGAGCUAAUCCCAUAAAACCGAUCGUAGUCCGGAUCGCAGUCUGCAACUCGACUGCGUGAAGUCGGAAUCGCUAGUAAUCGUGAAUCAGAAUGUCACGGUGAAUACGUUCCCGGGCCUU
Molecule: ribosomal RNA, 285 nt
Filed under: uncultured Pseudomonas sp.
Lineage: Bacteria; Pseudomonadati; Pseudomonadota; Gammaproteobacteria; Pseudomonadales; Pseudomonadaceae
Description: partial 16S ribosomal RNA
Rfam family: Bacterial small subunit ribosomal RNA
Source: RNAcentral